UGGACGAUUGUUCAAGAGGGUGACAUUUUGU
Molecule: non-coding RNA, 31 nt
Filed under: Rattus norvegicus (Norway rat)
Lineage: Eukaryota; Metazoa; Chordata; Mammalia; Rodentia; Muridae
Source: RNAcentral